AUGCAAGUCGACGGGAAUCUUCGGAUUCUAGUGGCGGACGGGUGAGUAACGCGUAAGAAUCUAACUUCAGGACGGGGACAACAGUUGGAAACGACUGCUAAUACCCGAUGUGCCGAAAGGUGAAACCUAAUUGGCCUGAAGAAGAGCUUGCGUCUGAUUAGCUAGUUGGUGGGGUAAGAGCCUACCAAGGCGACGAUCAGUAGCUGGUCUGAGAGGAUGAGCAGCCACACUGGGACUGAGACACGGCCCAGACUCCUACGGGAGGCAGCAGUGGGGAAUUUUCCGCAAUGGGCGAAAGCCUGACGGAGCAACGCCGCGUGAGGGAGGAAGGUCUUUGGAUUGUAAACCUCUUUUCUCAAGGAAGAAGUUCUGACGGUACUUGAGGAAUCAGCCUCGGCUAACUCCGUGCCAGCAGCCGCGGUAAUACGGGGGAGGCAAGCGUUAUCCGGAAUUAUUGGGCGUAAAGCGUCCGCAGGUGGUCAGCCAAGUCUGCCGUCAAAUCAGGUUGCUUAACGACCUAAAGGCGGUGGAAACUGGCAGACUAGAGAGCAGUAGGGGUAGCAGGAAUUCCCAGUGUAGCGGUGAAAUGCGUAGAGAUUGGGAAGAACAUCGGUGGCGAAAGCGUGCUACUGGGCUGUAUCUGACACUCAGGGACGAAAGCUAGGGGAGCGAAAGGGAUUAGAUACCCCUGUAGUCCUAG
This 700-nucleotide ribosomal RNA is filed under the name uncultured bacterium. RNAcentral's name for it is "bacterial SSU rRNA". It matches the Rfam family "Bacterial small subunit ribosomal RNA", at positions 55 to 799 of the family's 1533-position model. The record is from RNAcentral.